GGCAGUUUCUUGGAUGAGAUCUCCAGCCGCCCAUCGGCCGGCCAUCCUGGCUCACCUUCCCCGGAGCCAGGCGGGCGGACGAUAGGCGCGGAUGGGGAUCUGGCCCAAGAAGCACCAAGGA
Non-coding RNA from Pseudarthrobacter phenanthrenivorans Sphe3, 121 nucleotides. The record is from Rfam. Lineage: Bacteria; Bacillati; Actinomycetota; Actinomycetes; Micrococcales; Micrococcaceae.